RNAcentral lists this ribosomal RNA (322 nucleotides) under uncultured eukaryote. RNAcentral describes it as "partial 18S ribosomal RNA". It matches the Rfam family "Eukaryotic small subunit ribosomal RNA", at positions 1470 to 1796 of the family's 1831-position model. The record is from RNAcentral.
CCCUUAGAUGUUCUGGGCCGCACGCGUGCUACACUGAGUGGAUCAGCGGGUCAGGUUGCGCGAAAGUGUUUCCUAAUCUUGAAAUCCGCUCGUGAUGGGGAUUGACGGUUGCAAUUUUCCGUCAUGAACGAGGAAUACCUUGUAAGCGCGGGUCAUCAUCCCGCGCUGAAUACGUCCCUGCCCUUUGUACACACCGCCCGUCGCUCCUACCGAUUGGGUGGUCCGGUGAGGCUUUGGGAUCUGAGCGGAAAGAGCGUUUCGCUGUUUCUGCUCGGAAAACUCAGUCGAACCUUAUCAUUUAGAGGAAGGAGAAGUCGUAACA